Molecule: long non-coding RNA, 599 nt
Organism: Paramormyrops kingsleyae
Lineage: Eukaryota; Metazoa; Chordata; Actinopteri; Osteoglossiformes; Mormyridae
Source: RefSeq, a predicted model, not a curated record
UGCUUGACGUAAAAUAUGACAUACACCGUGCUACGCAUUUCAUUCAUAUGGCGAAACCAAAGUCUGAAAUGUCUACAGUCCUCGUCAUUUAAAGCUGUCAUGAAUAUUAAUAAUAAUUACAGUAAUUAGAUUAAUCCGCGGGUCUAGCGACUGGCAUUUUGGUAUUGAAAGCAGUCCCGGCAAACGAACAACAGGGCAUAAGCAAAGAAAAAGUUGCGUGAUUGAACCCAUCGUUGGCUGUCUGUUCUAUUGUAAAGCAAAUCAAACGACAAGGUGUCAGAAGAUAUUUAAAAUAACUGAAGGAUUGAAGCCGCCGUCUGGGCUUGAUCUGCAAACCUGCAAGUGUCCGAUGAUUUCUGCAGCAACAGGAGGCGCUAGCAAACCUGCUAAGGUUUCUUCGUCGUCCCUUUGGGAUCGACUCGGCACCUGAAAUGUUCCACAGAACAGUGAAGCAGCUGUUUCAGAGGAUUGGAGGUGUUAACCUACUUUGAUGACAUACUUGUUUGGGACAAAAGAACAGCACAAUCAAAGGUUAACAAGUGUUAAAGAGAGCCAGAGCUUAGAAUUUUUGACUGAAUAAAGAAAAAUGUAUGAUUGGA